UGGACAAUGGGGGAAACCCUGAUCCAGCCAUGCCGCGUGAGUGAUGAAGGCCUUAGGGUUGUAAAGCUCUUUCGGCGGGGAAGAUAAUGACGGUACCCGCAGAAGAAGCCCCGGCUAACUUCGUGCCAGCAGCCGCGGUAAUACGAAGGGGGCUAGCGUUGCUCGGAAUCCCUGGGCGUACAGCGCACGUAGGCGGAUUUCUAAGUCAGGGGUGAAAUCCUGGAGCUCAACUCCAGAACUGCCGUUGAUACUGGAAAGCUCGAGUUCGGGAGAGGUGUGUGGAACUGCGAGUGUAGAGGUGAAAUUCGGAGAUAUUCGCAAGAACACCAGUGGCGAAGGCGGCUCACUGGCCCGAUACUGACGCUGAGGUGCGAAAGCGUGGGGAGCAAACA
RNAcentral lists this ribosomal RNA (392 nucleotides) under uncultured bacterium. RNAcentral describes it as "bacterial SSU rRNA". It matches the Rfam family "Bacterial small subunit ribosomal RNA", at positions 365 to 774 of the family's 1533-position model. The record is from RNAcentral.